AUGAAUGGGAAUACUGUACAGUGGCGUUUAACAUGCUUUUAUGGGCACCCCAACUGGAGUGACCGUGCUUUGUCAUGGGAUGAUAUUCAAAAUUUGUAUGAGAAGGGUGAUCACCCAUGGGUAUUUUUAGGAGAUUUUAAUGAAAUUUUGUUAUCAUCGGAGAAAGAGGGAGGGAAUGUGAGACCAAAUGUGAUGAUGAGAGAUUUUCGUAAUUGUUUGGGAGAUUGUGGACUAGCAGAUAUGGGAUGUAUGGGUGACUUAUUUACAUGAAGGAGGGGCGAAAUCAGGGAAAGACUAGAUUGAGCGGUUUGUAAUGUGGAUUGGGCGAAUAAAUUCCCUCGAGCGGCGGUUAUUAACGAAGAACAUGUACACUCAGACCAUCGCCCUAUUGUUUUAGACACGGAAUAUUUUGAUGAUAAUAUUUUUGACCGCUCAAAAAGUCGAAGGAAACAUUUUGAAGCUCGAUGGCUGAAAGAAGAGACGGUUACAGAAGUUGUAUGUGCAGCUUGGGAAAAAGCGAAGAUGUUGGGCAUAGGGCCGUCUCUCGCUGAUCGCACAAGAGUGGUACAUGCAGAUUUGCACUCUUGGGAUCGUGAUAUCCUUAAGGGUUCGAAAAAAAGAAUCAACAAACUAAAAAAAUAUUUAGAAAAAUUACGGAGAGGGCCUGUGAAUGCUACCUCUCUUGCACGUCAAAAGGAGACUAUUGUAUUGAUUGAAAAUUUAUUGGAACAAGAGGAGAUACACUGGCUACAACGGGGUCGAGCAAACUAG
RNAcentral lists this ribosomal RNA (771 nucleotides) under Triticum aestivum (bread wheat). RNAcentral describes it as "partial small subunit ribosomal RNA". The record is from RNAcentral. Lineage: Eukaryota; Viridiplantae; Streptophyta; Magnoliopsida; Poales; Poaceae.